This 264-nucleotide ribosomal RNA is filed under the name uncultured Glomeromycotina. RNAcentral describes it as "partial 28S ribosomal RNA". Lineage: Eukaryota; Fungi; Glomeromycota. The record is from RNAcentral.
AUGCUUGCAAGUAAUCAGCUUAAAGUAUUUUGAGUGUAUUUUCUUGUCUAGCAAGUUAGCGUCGAUUUUAAUUAUCUUAAAAUAACUAGGGGAAUGUAACUCCCUCGGGAGCGUUAUAGCCCUUGGUAAGAUGAGAUGAUUGAGAUCGAGGAUUGCAGCGAAUGCUCAAUAGGGCUAACAACUUAAUCUCUGAAUGGCCCCUGGUUAUGAACAGCUUGCUGAUUAUGAUUAGGUUAGCUUAUCAAAAGGUCGAGAUUGUUUAAA